RNAcentral lists this long non-coding RNA (230 nucleotides) under Lathyrus oleraceus (garden pea). RNAcentral describes it as "Pisum sativum (pea) long non-coding RNA (PSAT_LNC012897)". Lineage: Eukaryota; Viridiplantae; Streptophyta; Magnoliopsida; Fabales; Fabaceae. The record is from RNAcentral.
GAAGCUCCCGAUUCUAAGAUCCAAUCUGAUGCACCUGAAGGCAUGGCCCUAGUAUGAAAAGCAAUAGGAGGUUGAUUCUUUGGAGGGUAGCCAUGCAAUUUGUAGCAUCCAUUGGCUAUAUGGCCUGAUUUGUCACAAAAUUAACAUAUUACACGCUUCGAGAAGCCCGGUGAUGUUGAUCUGGGCAUUGUAUGAUUGUGGUAAUGUUUUGGUGUUUUGUUGUAGAAUUG